CUACUACACAGGGCAGUCACUGCCCAACCCAGAUCUAGUAAGAAAAAUGUGACAAGGUUGCAUGUGCUGCACAUUUGUGAGAGAACUGUCCUUGAAACCUGGUUCAAACAUGAUUCACCCUCAAAGGAGUCAAAGUCCUAGUUCAGGUGAGACGCUCUGAAUAACAGAGAUAAUGAACCUUAAGCCUUCAACCUUCCCAUUUGUUUUUAUGGAGAUAAAUUCAGACUGAGAAAGGUGGAUCCCUGACUUUUGUUCUCUUUAAAACAAGAAUUAAAAUACAUGUGUUGGAAGAAUUUACUGAAGUCACCCAAAGUCAAGCUUUGUUGUCCAGAUAUCCAAAAUCUCUGUAUGGUAUUCACCGCUGAGGAUAACCCGAUCUCAGGAAGACUGAAGGAUACUGCAUGAAGAACAUCCACACCAUGCAAAAUUUUACUGUUUUCCAGGCUGGCUUGUAAUGACUGGUGCCACAGAUGGGUGACACAAUGGUUGGCUCUCACAAGGGAUGAAUAAGAGAAGUUCCAUUGAUAUAUAGUAAUGUUAUUGUGUUUUGUUGUUUAGGCGUCCCCUGUUCUCUCCGUAGUCCCCUUUCCCCCGUAUGGUUGCCAAGGGAUGGCCUUGGUGGUCGGGACAUGUGGCUGGAGGGCGCGAACCUGGGCCCUUCCUUACACGGGGCAGUUGGGAAUGGGGAAGGCUUGUUGCUAGGGGGAGUGGCAUGGCAACACCUGGCCUCCAAUCAAGUUGCAGGAAAGCAGCUUCCACCAAUGGAUGGUGAAGAAGAGUUGAUUGACAGACUUUGGGAGGGGCCAAGGUUGCCUGAGGCAAAUUCAGAGAUACAAAAGGUGGAGCAGCCAUUUUGUGCGUGAGCAUGUGGGGUCUAAUUCCAUGUUCCCAGCUCUGUAAUUUUGCCUUAUUCAGUCCUUUGUUGUAUUUUGUAAAGGUUGAAUAAACCUUUGAAAUUUUUAAAGUGAGCAGUUGUUUCUCACACUGGCUGUGUCUGCGUUGCACAGAGCAAGCACUGUUAUUCUUGCCUCUACGUAGUGCUGACCUGCACGGCUUCUGAUCCUGGAGUAGCUAGAUAGUUUAGGUAUCUGCAUUUUCCUCCCUCAUCUGCUGUAAUUACAUCCACUGCCUAUCUGUACUCACCAUAAUCUUGCUCCCAAAAUGUCAAGGAGAAGGUAGAGUGGAGGAAGGAUAUUCAAGAAAGAUUGGAGGCUAAGGCUGAUCCCUCCCCCCCGCAGCGAGUGUAGCUUUAAGCAAUUUGCUUUAGCAAAUCAGACUUUUUACCAAGUUCUUAGAGAUGGUACAAGGGGCAGUGGUUUUAAAGUGAUAGAUUUAACCUGGACAUAAGGAAUUUUUUACAACUACAAUUGCAAUUUUACAAUUGCAGUGAGACACUGGAACGGGUUGCCCAGAGGAGUUUGUGGGUGGCCCAUCAAUGGAAGUGUUGAAGGUCAGGUUGAACGAGGCUUUGAGCAAAUUGAUAGUGAAAGAUGUCCUCAGGGGGAGUGAACUAGAUGAUUUUUAAAGGUCAUUUCCAACUCUCACUUUCUCAGUUUUUUCUCCUGCCAUUUAUUGCAUUAACUCAAGUUGUAAAUUACUGUGUUGUGAUUCUAGAAGUUGUGAUUCAGAUGAGGGCCAAUAAACUACUUCAGGUCAGACUUCUAUGAUACAAGAUAAAUUUCAGGCAAUUACACUAAAAUUACAGCAAGGGUGUUAUAAUUGAAAAGUCAAAUACUUAAAAACUGUGCCAAAAUUGGAGAUAUUUGUUCUUUUUCAAGUAGAGCUAUAUGACUAUAUUACAAUGGUACUUUUAACUGUGUUUUUGAAUGUUAAACACUUUUCUUUGCUCCACUGAUGAGGCAGUUAAUGAAUGGUAGAUUAAAUGCUGGAUAUUUUGGCUGUGGGACAAGAUGGAUUAAAAAUGUCAGAAAGCAACAAAUGAGAAAACAAGAGAGAAGGGGAGGGGCAUCUCUUUCUCUUCAUUUCACUGGCAGACAGCAAGGGUUAAAGAGGUGUGAGGAAAGGGAAGCUGGAUAAAGAUAGUAUUGGUUUUUCGUGACUUUGUCUAAGACAACUGCGCUGACCCAUCUGAUUAUUCCAUGUGAGUCAGAAAGGUAACAAACCUCAAACAGGAGGCCUUUUACCCCUACUGGAACAAGAGCUUCUCUCCUUCUGUUCCCAUUUUUUUUUUUUUUUUUCUACUUUAGUGAAAUGAUUAAUACAUUCUGUGUUUAUGAUUUUGGCUGAAGCACCUAUUCCUAGAGCAGCUACGCCCUUCCAGCCUAAUGAUGGGCCAUUAACACCCCAUGGCUUGCAUACCCUGCCUUAAAGGUCCUCACAGCUGGACCUCCUCAGUCCCAGCAACUGUCUCCAUCCUCCCACUCAGUGCAUUCAGGAGCCAAGCUCUCCACAUGCCUAUUCCCCUGCAAAGUCAGAAAGGGACCACUAUUCAACAACCCAUGGACCAGGCAUGUAGCUUUAAGCUACAGCCAAAAAUCUGAGUGGGAGGAACACCUGCAGCUGAACAGAAAUGUGUCAGCAAAAGUGUUCAAACAACAAAUUUUUAUUCCCUGAGAGGGCAAACAUAACCCAUAAGUUGUAAGAAGAUGAAGAGGGAGAGAGGUUUGGGGGGGUGUAAGUGAAUAGGAAAUAGAAAAGGGAUCAGGGUAGCAAAUAUGCCCACCUCUCUAAUAUUCCUUAGUAAGAUAGCUUGGUCCACUAAGGACUAAAACCCUCAAAAUGCCAGUGUAGCAAUUCUUACACACCAGGAUUGUUGAGAAGGCUAGAAAGGCCCCAGCAGAUGCCCUGCUGUGCAAAUCCUGCUGACAUGCCUUACUUUCCUGGGUCUAUUUGGAAGCAUAAGGGCUGUUUCUGAGUACAGAGGAUAAAGUGAGCCCCCACCUGGACUACUGUGAACCGUUCAGGUCUUCCCAACCAAAGACAGACAUGGAACUGUUGGAGCAAUUCCAGAGGAGGGCCAUGAAGUUGAUAAGGGGACUGGAGCAUUUUUAUUCCUAAAACAAUCUGGUCAGAUUGGAGAAGAUUGC
Parus major (Great Tit) is the source of this 3047-nucleotide long non-coding RNA. RefSeq lists it as uncharacterized. The transcript has 5 exons. Lineage: Eukaryota; Metazoa; Chordata; Aves; Passeriformes; Paridae. The record is from RefSeq and is a predicted model, not a curated record.